RNAcentral lists this ribosomal RNA (472 nucleotides) under uncultured bacterium. RNAcentral's name for it is "bacterial SSU rRNA". It matches the Rfam family "Bacterial small subunit ribosomal RNA", at positions 28 to 507 of the family's 1533-position model. The record is from RNAcentral.
GACGAACGCUGGCGGCGUGCUUAACACAUGCAAGUCGAGCGGAGAUAUAUUGAAGAUUUAUCGGAUAUAUAUCUUAGCGGCGGACGGGUGAGUAACGCGUGGGCAAUCUGCCUCAUACAGGGGGAUAACACUGGGAAACUAGUGCUAAUACCGCAUAAAAUAAUGAAGUGGCAUCACUUUAUUAUCAAAGGAGCAAUCCGGUGUGAGAUGAGCCCGCGUCCGAUUAGCUAGUUGGUGGGGUAACGGCCUACCAAGGCGACGAUCGGUAGCCGAACUGAGAGGUUGAUCGGCCACAUUGGGACUGAGACACGGCCCAGACUCCUACGGGAGGCAGCAGUGGGGAAUAUUGCGCAAUGGGGGAAACCCUGACGCAGCAACGCCGCGUGAAGGAUGAAGGUUUUCGGAUUGUAAACUUCUUUGAUGAGGGACGAUAAUGACGGUACCUCAAAAACAAGCCACGGCUAACUACGUG